Molecule: ribosomal RNA, 635 nt
Filed under: Leptographium radiaticola
Lineage: Eukaryota; Fungi; Ascomycota; Sordariomycetes; Ophiostomatales; Ophiostomataceae
Description: eukaryotic LSU rRNA
Rfam family: Eukaryotic large subunit ribosomal RNA
Source: RNAcentral
UUGACCUCGGAUCAGGUAGGACUACCCGCUGAACUUAAGCAUAUCAAUAAGCGGAGGAAAAGAAACCAACAGGGAUUGCCCCAGUAACGGCGAGUGAAGCGGCAACAGCUCAGAUUUGGAAUCUGGCCCCCAGGGCCCGAGUUGUAAUCUGGAGAGGAUGCUUCUGGCGCGGCGCCUUCCGAGUUCCCUGGAACGGGACGCCGGAGAGGGUGAGAGCCCCGUACGGUCGGACGCCCAGCCUGUGUGAAGCUCCUUCGACGAGUCGAGUAGUUUGGGAAUGCUGCUCAAAAUGGGAGGUAAAUUUCUUCUAAAGCUAAAUAUUGGCCAGAGACCGAUAGCGCACAAGUAGAGUGAUCGAAAGAUGAAAAGCACUUUGAAAAGAGGGUCAAACAGUACGUGAAAUUGUUGAAAGGGAAGCGCCCGUGGCCAGACUUGCGCCCGGCGGUACCACCCGGCGCCACAGCGCCGGGGCAUUCCGCCGGGCGCAGGCCAGCAUCGGUUUUCCCAGGGGGACAAAGGUGGCGGGAACGUAGCUCCUCCGGGAGUGUUAUAGCCCGCCGCGCCAUGCCCCUGGGGGGACCGAGGACCGCGCCUUGUGCAAGGAUGCUGGCGUAAUGGCCACCGGCGACCCGUCU